AACGAACGCUGGCGGCAGGCUUAACACAUGCAAGUCGAACGCACCGCAAGGUGAGUGGCAGACGGGUGAGUAACACGUGGGAACGUACCCCUUUGUUCGGAAUAACCCUGGGAAACUAGGGCUAAUACCGGAUACGGCCGGAAGGCGAAAGGUUUACCGCAGAGGGAUCGGCCCGCGUCCGAUUAGCUUGUUGGUGAGGUAAUGGCUCACCAAGGCAUCGAUCGGUAGCUGGUCUGAGAGGAUGGCCAGCCACAUUGGGACUGAGACACGGCCCAAAACUCCUACGGGAGGCAGCAGUGGGGAAUAUUGGACAAUGGGCGCAAGCCUGAUCCAGCCAUGCCGCGUGAGUGAUGACGGCCUUAGGGUUGUAAAGC
Molecule: ribosomal RNA, 374 nt
Filed under: uncultured bacterium
Lineage: Bacteria
Description: bacterial SSU rRNA
Rfam family: Bacterial small subunit ribosomal RNA
Source: RNAcentral